RNAcentral lists this ribosomal RNA (293 nucleotides) under uncultured bacterium. RNAcentral's name for it is "partial 16S ribosomal RNA". It matches the Rfam family "Bacterial small subunit ribosomal RNA", at positions 775 to 1067 of the family's 1533-position model. The record is from RNAcentral.
GGAUUAGAUACCCUGGUAGUCCACGCCGUAAACGAUGUCUACUAGUUGUCGGGACUCUUGCAGUCUUGGUAACGCAGCUAACGCGAUAAGUAGACCGCCUGGGGAGUACGGCCGCAAGGUUAAAACUCAAAUGAAUUGACGGGGGCCCGCACAAGCGGUGGAGCAUGUGGUUUAAUUCGAAGCAACGCGAAGAACCUUACCUGGCCUUGACAUACUGUGAACUUACUAGAGAUAGUUUGGUGCCUUCGGGAACACAGAUACAGGUGCUGCAUGGCUGUCGUCAGCUCGUGCCG